RNAcentral lists this ribosomal RNA (268 nucleotides) under uncultured Gammaproteobacteria bacterium. RNAcentral's name for it is "partial 16S small subunit ribosomal RNA". It matches the Rfam family "Bacterial small subunit ribosomal RNA", at positions 1106 to 1373 of the family's 1533-position model. Lineage: Bacteria; Pseudomonadati; Pseudomonadota; Gammaproteobacteria. The record is from RNAcentral.
UGUCCUUAGUUGCCAGCACGUAAUGGUGGGAACUCUAAGGAGACUGCCGGUGACAAACCGGAGGAAGGUGGGGACGACGUCAAGUCAUCAUGGCCCUUACGACCUGGGCUACACACGUGCUACAAUGGCCAGUACAGAGGGCUGCAAGCCCGCGAGGGGGAGCUAAUCUCACAAAGCUGGUCGUAGUCCGGAUCGCAGUCUGCAACUCGACUGCGUGAAGUUGGAAUCGCUAGUAAUCGUGAAUCAGAAUGUCACGGUGAAUACGUUC